This 1025-nucleotide long non-coding RNA is filed under the name Varroa destructor (honeybee mite). RNAcentral's name for it is "uncharacterized LOC111244466, transcript variant X1". The record is from RNAcentral. Lineage: Eukaryota; Metazoa; Arthropoda; Arachnida; Mesostigmata; Varroidae.
AUACUAGUAUACAUACAUACAUAGUAUAGGAUAAACACCACCACUCAACUGUCUUUAGCGUAGAGCGUCGAACUGCUAGAUGAACGAAGCCUACGCACUGCGACGGCCGAAUUCGACUCACCCAAAUGCAAUGAAUCAAAAUAAGGCUAGGAGUGAGAAAGCAGACGUUGUAGCGUUUAUAUCGACUAUUAUCGGUAGAACCACUGGCGAUCAAGCAACAGCAAUAUAAUGUGAUCGAGCUGAGCCUUCGCUAGCCGCGAAAAGUUCUAGCUAUGGGAGCAACUAUACUAGAGUACUGUAGAACAAAUGAAUGCUACAUAUAUGUAUGUGUAUACAUAUAUAGUAUGUGAGAAAAAAAGGAGGAACAAAGUACGAAGUCAUUUCCAGGCAUAAAGGCUUUGAGUAAGUGGGACACGCUUACUGUUUUCUAGCUAGUCGUUCGCGUUCGCGAAUAUUGAAGUGGAAUGAUUCAGGCCCAUCUUGUUUUGAACAGCCCAAGACAAGAGACAAAAGCCAGCUGACUUUCUGAAAACUCGUAUUUGAUGGUGUAACAGGUCACGCAAUUGUUACCGCGCUGUUAGGCGAUUAAGUUUUACUUCUGCAACCGUGUUAAGCUUCGUAAUAUGUUCCAAAAAUUUAUAAGGCCGCUGGGCCCCAACUCAGGCUCAUAUUGGCUUUCUGUGUAUAUCUUUAUACUUCGUUAUUACCUAUACGAGAGGGGAGCUUUAAGUAUGUUUAACUCCUGCCUAUCCUGCUGCCACCCAUAACGGAAAUUCAACAGGUCGACUGGCCUGUUUCCAGAAUAAGAUUACCAGCGGAAGUUGUCCGACCGGGCUGCUUUUUAGAGAAAUGUCAAUGAAGUUACCGUAGGGAAGAGGAUUCCGUAUUCACGCACCGUGAUAAUAACGGAUCGUGCGUCGAGGGAGGCGAGAAGACUCGUUGACAAAAAUAUUGCUGUUUUAUCUCUAACUUAUUUGGCCGGUAGCAUUUUAGAGAAAAAGAAUCUAACUACGACGUUAAAGAUC